This is a long non-coding RNA of Rosa rugosa (rugosa rose), 2098 nucleotides long. RefSeq lists it as uncharacterized. NCBI's taxonomy places the organism in Eukaryota, Viridiplantae, Streptophyta, Magnoliopsida, Rosales, Rosaceae. The record is from RefSeq and is a predicted model, not a curated record. The transcript has 5 exons.
UCUACUGCUCCACCUCGCUGCAAUCUUCCUCAAUAGAAUAUUGUUCGCCUUGCUUUAAAAAAAAGAUUGUUCGCCCAAGUGUGCAAUGGUGUGUUAUAAGCCUAUAUGACUUGUGCCAUGCGUACCACGUGUUUGGGAAAAUGCUUAUGUUGGGAUUUUGCUGAAUUUCGAUUCUUAUGCUUCUAUUGAUUUACAUGUGUACAAGUGUUUACUCUCUUUCUACUUGGCAAUAAAGGAAAAAACAAGAACAUGAUAGAGAAACACAGUGUGAUUCAUAUUGGACCUCUCCUCAUUAUUGUGCAACUUUGGUCAUGCUGGUGCUUUGUUCCAAUUGAGAGCUCUGUAGCUUCUUUUCAGUUUUUUUUCUCUCUCAGCUUAAUAUGUGUUACUGUAAUUGCUGAUUUGGGAUCUUCAUUUUUUAGUUGUGUUUUCCCAUUAUGUCUUUUUGCUUAAUUGGCCCCAGGCCUUAUUGACUAUGAAUAAGGCUUUUAGGAGUAACAAAUAAGUAUAUUGAUUAAACGUUUGAGUGCUUUUACGAGAAAUCAUUACCGUGUUUUAAGAGGUUUCUCAUCAUUUCUGGUGAGUUCCCUUCUUCUCCGUUUCCCACCGAAGCCAUGCAAAUGGCACCAUUUUUGACCUAAUAGAGUUGAGUCUGGGGCUUUUACUGCUUUAGUCGAUUGCCAUUGAUUUCAGUUCAUACAUAUAAAGCUGUGGAAUUGUUUAAUUUUGUUUCAGCCUGAGUGUUUUUGAUCAUGUCUUGGUGCACGAUUGAGUCCAACCCAGCUUUUAAACAGUGAAGCUCAUCCAGGGUAUCAAGAUCGGAUGAAGUGGACAUCAAGUUUUUGGGGACUACAUUUGGGAAGGCCUAUACUAUACACACCAAUGUCUGCAUCACAGGAAGUGGAGAUGGAAAAAAAUUAUUGGGAGAGAGAUGAAGUUAUUUUUGUGGUUUGAUCCGAUGAUUAUGCUAUAGUAAGGAGAUUAUAAUAUCAAAUUGAUCAGUUUAUCAAGGACCGAACACAAUUUGCCAAGAGCCCUACAAAUCAUGAAGUUCCGUUUUCCCUGCACAAAGUCUUUAUCUUCUCCAGCAGGAAUCAUCGAUGAUAGUAACUUAGCUGGAUCGGGUAUGCAGACAGUAUCAGAGGGGAUCUCAAGUGGAAUCGAUGCUUCUGAAGUUUCGUCAGAGCUAAAAUCAAAUGGACAAGUUGUAGAUGAAAGUUUAUUCAAAGAUAGCAAGAUGGAUGUGACUGAAGUACAGAUGGAUGGUUCAAAAUAUACGUGUUCGAUCCUUAAGAUCCUAUUAGAAUAAUACCCUUCUCCAGCACUCAACUCCAGCAAUUCUCAUGUAAGAAACCCAAGAACCAAAGAAUUAAAAUAUCCACUUAAAUCUAUUACUGAAAGAAGAAAAACAAACAUGAUGAAGAUACGGCAGAAACCCAGGACGUCUUCGUCGGAGGUUUUGCCGUCUCUCCAGUCGAACUGGUUCGGGUCGGUGCCAAAUCCCCUGCUUCUCAAUCAGAUCGCAGAUGGUGUUUCUAAGCAACGCAAGUUAUUUUGGUGGUCUUCUUCAACGUUUUUGAAAGUCUUCCUUCUUCCUUGUGAUGCAAUUGGUGAAUAUGGAGUGAUGGAGUCUAGGGGCCGAUCAUGAACUUGCACUAGAAACCCAGGCGGAUUGCUAUUGUGAGAAAAUUUCAGAAAAGAAAAGGAAAAAAGAAAGGGAGUUAACGGAGCUAAAGGCGUUAAGUUAAUGAGGCAGGUGUCAUUAUUUUACAUAAGAGACAGGUCAACCAUCCCCUCAUACCGCACCUGAUUACUCCCACAUAACUUCAAUCUAAUAUUGGCCAAACAGACUCUGUAUAUAUUAAAAAGCAAAUGCCAAAGACUGGCAUAUAUAAAAGAGCAGCUUGCAGGUUUUGAAAGAAGAAAAUUAUAGUGUGGCCGUCUGGAAUACGUGUAUGUUUUGUUGCUUAUGAGACCGAGUCUCGGCAGACAUUAAAAAAGACUCGAGGUUGUUCAAGGAAAUUAAGAAGCAGAUGCAAGAGGGGCUGUCAAUUUGUUUACGAUGAAUUCUUUUAUAUAUUUGCGAGACCUUUGUUCA